AUUGAACGCUGGCGGCAGGCCUAACACAUGCAAGUCGAACGGUAACAGGAAGAAGCUUGCUUCUUUGCUGACGAGUGGCGGACGGGUGAGUAAUGUCUGGGAAACUGCCUGAUGGAGGGGGAUAACUACUGGAAACGGUAGCUAAUACCGCAUAACGUCGCAAGACCAAAGAGGGGGACCUUCGGGCCUCUUGCCAUCGGAUGUGCCCAGAUGGGAUUAGCUAGUAGGUGGGGUAACGGCUCACCUAGGCGACGAUCCCUAGCUGGUCUGAGAGGAUGACCGGCCCACCUGGACCUGAGACACGGUCCAGACCCCUACGGGAGGCAGCGGUGGGGAAUAUUGAACAAUGGGGGCAAGCCUGAUGCAGCCAUGCCGCGUGUAUGAAGAAGGCCUUCGGGUUGUAAAGUACUUUCAGCGGGGAGGAAGGGAGUAAAGUUAAUACCUUGCUCAUUGACGUUACCCGCAGAAGAAGCACCGGCUAACUCCGUG
RNAcentral lists this ribosomal RNA (489 nucleotides) under uncultured bacterium. Its description in RNAcentral is "partial 16S ribosomal RNA". It matches the Rfam family "Bacterial small subunit ribosomal RNA", at positions 30 to 507 of the family's 1533-position model. The record is from RNAcentral.